UACAGAGGGUGCAAGCGUUGCUCGGAAUUAUUGGGCGUAAAGGGUAGGUAGGUGGUCUUGUUUGUCUGGGGUGAAAGCCUUGAGCUUAACUCAAGAAGUGCCUUAGAAACGGCAAGACUAGAGUGCUGGAGAGGGUCGUGGAAUUCCCGGUGUAGCGGUGAAAUGCGUAGAGAUCGGGAGGAACACCAGAGGCGAAGGCGGCGACCUGGACAGUGACUGACACUCAACUACGAAAGCGUGGGGAGCAAACAGG
RNAcentral lists this ribosomal RNA (253 nucleotides) under uncultured bacterium. Its description in RNAcentral is "partial 16S ribosomal RNA". It matches the Rfam family "Bacterial small subunit ribosomal RNA", at positions 524 to 776 of the family's 1533-position model. The record is from RNAcentral.